AACCCCCCUAUAACCCCCAGGCAGGAGCUUUCCAGAGAAUUACUUACUCACAAUAGAGUGCUACUACAGAGAAGGAAGGGGAAAGUCAUCAAAAAAGUUCAGAAAGAUUGGUAACUAGAAGAUAGAGACAGAGAAGGUUACGAGUGCAAUCACUUAUGUGACUGGGGGCAGAGGUCCGGGCAGGGACGGAAAGCCUGGUCCGGUUCCUAAAAAAAGAAAAGAAGUAUCAACUCGAGGAUCUGCAAGAAAAGACUCAAAGACAGCCAAUGAAGGGACAUGGGAUAGCCUAUUAGGGGAAAAAGGAAGCUUUAUAGAGGAAAGAUGGGCACUAGCCCGCAGGGAGAGAGAGAAGCACAAAAAGAAGCCUAAGGGAGAGAAUCUUUCGUCCACCAAGGACUUUUAGGUUCUUCUUCUUCUAAUCCUUCCGACAACAGCGCUUACUUCUAUGACACCACCACCGGUACCGGUUAGGAGAGCAGCUUUUUUGCCCACUUCUCUCA
Molecule: long non-coding RNA, 500 nt
Filed under: Panax ginseng (ginseng)
Lineage: Eukaryota; Viridiplantae; Streptophyta; Magnoliopsida; Apiales; Araliaceae
Description: long non-coding RNA (PGIN_LNC008951)
Source: RNAcentral